CGCAAUCAAUCACAAAUAAUACACAUUUGCUUGAUUAUUAUAGUUCCGCCGUUAGGUUAGGCGUAGUAAGAAAGCAAUGGCUGAGCAGCUAAAAGAACAAGAGCACCUGGAUGUCCUCACCAAGACGGGACAGAAGUCUGGCAUCUCCAAACCCAGGGGGGACAUUCACAGAGAUGGGGAUUACCAUCGAGCUGUUCAUGUGUGGAUUUAUUCAGAGAGUACGCAAGAACUACUUCUCCAACGACGUGCUGACUGCAAGGAUUCAUGGCCAGGGUUAUGGGAUAUCUCUAGUGCAGGCCAUAUAUCUGCUGGUGAUUCUUCCCUUAUCACAGCCAGGAGGGAGCUCCAUGAAGAGCUUGGUGUAAUCCUUCCGAAGGAGGCAUUUGAGUUGAUAUUUGUUUUUCUUGAAGAGUGUGUCAUAAAUGAUGGAAAAUUCAUCAAUAAUGAAUUCAAUGAUGUAUAUCUAGUGACAACUUUGGCUCCAAUUCCUUUGGAGGCCUUUACUCUUCAGGACUUGGGCACAGGAAGACGAUUGGAAGUGGAUGUGGGGACAAUGGCUUGUAUUUGCUGGACGCAAGACCAACUUUUUAUUAUCUUGCAAAUCAAUCUAGUGUUAGAAAUAGAAUCAGAAGUCUCAGCUGUUAAAUAUAUCUCUUUGGAGGAGUAUAAGAGCUUACUUGCUAAUGAAGAUCCUGAGUACGUCCCCUAUGAUGUAAAUGGGCAGUAUGGCCAACUCUUUGACGUAAUUGUAAAACGGUAUAAUGAAAACAUAGAGGCACGGAGUUUGGCUAUACAAAAACAGCUCUCUCGUUAUGCUCGUAUCUCGCUAGAUGCUGAGUUGAUUGGGCUCACUGAUGUAGACAAAGAAGCUCUGGUGUUACUUAUUCAAGCUGCGGCAGUGAUAGAUGCAAUUUUUUACCUGCAGGUUUGGUGCAGUAAUUCAACUUUAAGGGAUUGGUUGAAGAAGCAUGCAGAUAUAUCUCCUCUGGACAAGUUAAAGUGGAUAUAUUAUUUGAUUAAUGGAAGUCCAUGGUCUUGCCUUGAUGAAGAUGAGGCAUUUUUGACAACUGCAGACUCGGCCAUUAAGUUGCUUCCCGAAGCUACAAAGCCGUCAAAAGGGUGGAAGGGGCUUGAAUAUAGGGCUGCUUUUCCCAUGCUGAAACCACCUGGUGCAAAUUUCUAUCCUCCAGAUAUGGACAAAAAGGAAUUUAAUUUAUGGAAGGAUACUCUUAAGGAGGAUGAGAAAAAUGAUGCAACAGGCUUUUUCACUGUUAUCAAAAGGCGCAGUGAAUUGAAUUUGGACGCAUCACUUUCCAAAACUACAGUAGGUAGCACGAGUCAUUUGGUGGGAUCUGCUCAUGAUCUCUAUACCGUUCCUUACUCUCAGGAGUAUAAACCUUUCCUUGCCAAAGCUGCUGAAUUACUGCAUAAAGCGGGAGACUUGACCAGCUCACCUAGUUUGAAGAGGUUAUUACAUAGCAAGGCUGAUGCUUUUCUUUCAAAUGACUACUAUGACUCAGAUAUUGCCUGGAUGGAAUUGGACUCUAAGUUGGAUGUUACAAUUGGCCCAUAUGAAACAUAUGAAGAUUCACUUUUUGGGUACAAGGCAACAUUUGAGGCAUUUAUUGGAAUUCGGGAUGAUGAAGCAACAGCACAACUUAAACUCUUUGGCGAUUAUCUAAAGGUUUUGGAAGAAAAUCUUCCAAUGGAAAAUGUGUACAAAUCAAAAGAUGUUAUUUCAGCUCCUAUUCGUGUCAUCCGACUCCUUUAUAAUGCAGGGGAUGUCAAGGGUCCUCAAACUGUUGCGUUUAAUCUUCCAAAUGAUGAACGCAUUGUAAAAGAUAGAGGAACAUCAAUGGUCAUUCUUAAGAAUGUUUCAGAGGCGAAGUUCAAGCAUAUUCUUCAACCUAUAGCUGACGUCUGUAUUACAACGGAACAACGUGAAUAUGUAGACUUCAAUUCUUUCUUCACUCACACAAUUUGUCACGAGUGCUGCCAUGGGAUUGGACCUCAUACUAUAAUACUUCCAAAUGGUCAAAAGUCUACAGUGAGAUUGGAAUUCAAUAAUAAUGGAGCACUGCAGCAAUUACUGAAAUCUUAACAUUGGAAUUAUUAUAGAGCAGACUUAAGAGAUAAGGCAUUAACUCAUUAGUUGCAUCUCCUAAAAGUAUGGAUGUUUUCAAAGAGGUCUGAGAUAUACCUGAAGUAUGGAUGUUUUCAAAUAGAUGUGAACAGAGAAAAAUCACUAAUCAUAUGAUGUGUAGUCCCAGAGUCAACAACCCAUGUAGUCCAAGAUAUACCUGAAGAAGACAAACCUACCGAGGAAGCUGAAGCAGACCAACUGUAAGAGACUGAAAGAGUUUGAAGAGAGCCCAAUUCCUACUGGCCAUCUUUAAAAAAAAAAAAAAUUAAACUGCCAAUAUUUUGCUCAAUAUACAACUAGUCUGUAUUACCACCGACGAAAAGUCCCAAAGUACCUCUGCCCAAUAUUCAGCUGAUCUGUAUUACCACUGCCCAAAAGUCCCAAAGUACAGAAAAGCAACGAGAGAAGAAUACAAAUGAGUUGCAACAGGUCACUAUUAUACCCAAAGUCACACGAUGCAAACCAGAAUAUUGCGAGACCAAUUCAAACAGAGGAGAAACUUCUGAACAGAAACCGAGAAGACGAAUUGCGAUUUUGGUGCUGCGAGCAAGCUGGGUCGAAGUCAAAAUGAUGCAAAGUCGUAGACUGAAGCCAGACGAAGUGUGAUUGUUGCUGCAAUGUGUUGCGAUGAAAGGGCAAGAACAAAAAUAAAAUAAAAUGUUGCAAACCAAGUCGAUAGUUGUGAUUAGGGUUUGCAAUUAUGCAAACUAGAUGAGGUCAAUAUAUUACUGUUGCGAUGCUGGUGUGAUGGUGCGAAAAAUUGCAGUUUAGGGUUCGUAGUUGCUGUGAGAGACGGUGCAAACGGAAACACAAAAUCGAUGAUACGUUGUGAGACAUGGCUGCUCUGAACAGAGAAGAAGAAAGAGAGGAGAUAUGGACAGAUUGCAACUGGGAACUUGCUGAUGCGAACAGAUUGCUGAGGUGAUUCCUAUUACAGAUGCAAUUGCUGCCAUAGGGUUGUGAAUAAAUUGAAGAAGAGAAUAGAAGAUGAUGCGAUGCAAGUUGGUUGACUGCAAAGUCAAACAAAGUCCAGUAGCGAUUGCAAUCUUAGGGCCGGAAACAAACAUGCUCUGAUACCAUGAAAACUUGAAAGAGACUGAUAUGUUAUUCAAUUGUGUAUUAUUCAGUAUGUAACAGCAAUAAUACAAGUACAAAAGAAAUAUAAUAUAUGCCCUAAACUAACUAAAGAAGAGAAAAUACAAUAUUGUCCUCAACAAUAAAACUAAACCUCAAAACUAAUACUCUUAACAGUCAUGAGUCUAUAGGAUGUGCAUUAUUGCUUGUAAAAGAUCCUCAUUCAUCACCUCAUUUUUUUCAGCUUCAUCAACCUGAGGCUUCGUUGUUUAAUAAUGUAUCUUCUCUCACAUUCAGCUGAAAUUGACUCAUCAAUUGCCAAAAUGUGUUAUAUUGCUUUUUGGGGGGCUUUCAGAAUUCAUGUGUGGAAUACUUGAGUGCUCAUGUAUUAACACUUAGUGUGAAAUAUGAUGACAAAUAAUGUCUUAGGAAAAUUGUGAGGGUAGAUCUAACUAGUAUCACAUCCCUACUGUUUCGUAUUUUUCAAUCCAUUGAACUGUAACUUUUUAAUUUCAUGGUAGAGGCAUCAUGAUGUUGCCAGGGGCUUAUUUGUUAUUUCUUAUAUAAUGUUGGGUGCUUAUGUGUAAUUUUUGAAUCUUGUUAGUAAAAAUAGAAUGUGAUGGAAGGAUGAAAGCAUUCUUUCUCUCUUUCCCAUCUCUUUCUCUUUUUUCUCUCUUUCUUCUCUUCUUCUUCUUCAUCUUCUUCUACUUGACUCUUGUUUUGAUUCUCUUAAAGUCAACAUGGUAUCAGAGCAUGGUUUGUAGAGCUCUAGGGUGUGUAGUUGAAACGCUAGGGCAAGUUUGUGUUUUCCCUAGUGGGUGUGAAGGGUUUUGAAGAGAUUCCAAGGUGGGAUUUGUUUACAAGGAAGUAGUGUUAAUCACAUCCACAUGCAUGGUCUCAAGUGGUGGUUUUUUUUCGUGUCUGUGUGGUUCUACAACAACGGCUUUCUCUUCGUCAUUCGCGAUUCUGGUAUGGUCUACUUUGUUGCUUUCUAGGGUUUGUGUGGUGACUGUGUGGUCAUUUUUUUAUGCAUCUCAGAAGACAGUAAUAUAUUUUUUUGAUGUUUGUGUGUUAGAGGGGUGGUUCUCUUGUUCUGUUUCUGAGGAGCGUAUACCCAGAAAUUGUUUGAUAAAAUGUCUAACUCAUAGGUGACUUCAAAAUAGGCGGUCUUCUUCUAGUUUGACUCCAGUGUUGGGAGGUAGUAGUGAUCACCAUCCAAGCCUUUGUAUUACGACUGUUAUGCUGGAUGAGACGAACUAUAUGAAGUGGACUCAAUCUGCUCAUAUGCAUAUAACUAGACCUAGGAUGAUCCCCAUGUGGAAAUGACUAUCACAUACCCUCCAAGAGCGAUCCUGAAUUCAAAGAGUGGAUUGCAAAUUAUGCACUAGUUAUGACGUGGUUGUUACAGUCAAUGCAACCACAGAUCUGCAAGGGGUUUCUGUUUGUGAAAGUAGCUAAAGAGCUAUGGGAUGCUAUGAAAGAGACAUUCUUCGGCUGAUAAUUUUGCAAAAGUGUAUGAGCUUCAACAAGAGAUUUCAAGAUUCAAGCAGGAAGACCAAACUCUUGCUACGUAUUACCACACUCUGCGCGGGAAAUGGGAAAAGUUAGAUCACUACCAAGACUAUAUACCUGUGUGUGCAGUUGAUGUUAAAACAUUUCAGGCUAUGGUAGAAAAGAAUCGAAUCUAUGAGUUCUUGGAUGGUCUGUAUUCGAAAUACGAGCAUGCCAGGGUACAAGUGUUAGGCUGGCAUCCAUCUCCUAAUUCUAUUAGAGAUUUGUUUUCUUACAUCCAAACUUAGGAGAGUAGAAUGAAGGCUAUGUCUGCACAUAUAUGCACUAAACCUCAGCCAGAAGUACCAUUGUUUGAAAGGUUUGCUCUUGCCACACAACAAUGGAAACCCUCCAAAAGGAGGGAAGCAGGAUGAGAAGAGUAAGUUGAGGUUUGAUCACUGGAAAUACGCUCCACACUAGGGAAACAUGCUAGAAUCUACAUGGUCACCCUACUCGAGCUCCUGCUCAUGCGAAUGCUAGGCUAAGGCUUGGUCUAUUUAGGAGGUGAUCUACGGCACAUGUUACAGCACAUGAGACAGCUUCUACUGGUCAUGUCUUCUCAGGGCCACUGAAUUCUUUAUCCAUAGUUGAAGUUGAUGCUCUUCGACAUUUGCUUGUUCAAAAUGCCUACACUUCCACCUCUAACUUUGCUCAGACAAGUACCUCUUAUUCGUCACAUCAUGUUUCAACAUUAUCUGGUGGGCCACCCUGGGUCGUUGAUUCAAGAGCCAUUGAUCACAUGAUUGGUAUGCCCUCUGAUUUCUCUUCAUACAGUUUAUGUUGUGGUAGGGAUAAGGUUAGAGUCACUGAUGGCACCUUCUCCAUGUCCCUAAUCUUAUCUUAUCCUAAUCUUACCUUAUCCUCUUUUCUCCAUGUCACUGAUAAGGUUAGUUUCUACCUCUCCUAAUCUUACCUUAUCCUCUUUUCUUCAUGUCCCAAAGUUUACAAAUAACCUCCUCUUUGUCAGUCACGUUACAAAAGGCUUGAAUUGUAGUGUAACCUUUUUUCCAUCUCCCUGUGUGUUUUUGGACUUGGACACGGGGAAGACGAUUGGGAGUGGACGUAAGGACAAUGGCUUGUAUUUGUUGAACGCAAGGCCAACCUUUUAUUAUGGUGCAAAUCAAUCUAGUGUUAGGAAUAGUAAUGUCAUAAAAGAUCUGUUAAUGCGAUGGCAUAAUAAACUCGAUCAUUUACGUAUUCCUGUUUUGAAGCAUGUGCUUCCCCAGUUUGCUUCUGUUAAAUCUUUUAAGUUAAAUUGUGAAACAUAAACAAUGUUGUGUUUCUUAUUUUACUAGUAUUAAUGAAAGUACUGCUCCUUUGCAACGUGUUCAUUAUGAUGUGUGGGGUCCUGAAUGUACUACUUCAUUACUUGUUUUUCUUUAUUUUGUUGUGUUUGUUGAUGAUCUUAUGAAAACCAAUGAUGAAGUUCGUUCCAUUUUUAAAACCUUUCAUAAGAUGUACUCAGUUUGGUUGUCCCCUCAAAAUCCUUCGAUCUGAUAAUGGAGGAGAGUUUAUGUAUAGUGGUCUUGCCUCCUUUUUUGCUAAUAACGGGAUUGUCCAUCAAACCUCCUUUGUUGAUACACCACAACAGAACGGUGUAGUUGAAAGAAAACAUUGUCAUAUUACGGAGCUGACCCGUUCUCUUCUAAUUAGGAUAGGAGUGCCUAUAAGUUAUUGGGCUGAUGCAACCUUAACAGUUGCAAACAUUAUCAAUCACAUGCCUUCUAGGGUUCUUGGCCAUCAAUCCCCCUUCUCUGUUUUACACCAUCACACUGCCUUGUUUGCUGCCCCUUUGAAAGUGUUUGGUUGUGUUUUCUUAUGUUCACAUUUAUCAUCGCAAGGACAAAAUAGACCCUAAGGCAAUCCAAUUUGUCUAUCUUGGAUGCUCCGCCACUAGAAAGGGUAUCGGUGUUAUAAUCCUACCACUUGUCAUCGGUUUGUCUCUAUGGAUGCUACAUUCUUUGAGUCUGUUUCCCUUUUUUUUUUUUUUUACACUGCUUGGGAUUCUUUAUAGGGGGAGACUGCUAUUGAUGUAGAGAAUCCAUCUUCCAUUCAAAGGGAAUGGCCCCUUCCAUCGCCUGUUCCCAUUCAGGGGGAGGUUCCCAUUUCGGAGGAGCUUCUUACUGAAGUGCCUAUGUCUGAUCCUCCUAACACUAAUGAUUUGCAGCAGGGAAAGCUGCCAAUUGUCUAUACUAGGAGGGCAAAAGAAGUCACAAACUCAGCCCAAAACCACGAUGUCACCCUCGAUCCAGGAACUGCAAGAACUCCACUCAGCUUUGGAAGAAGCUAAAGCUGAUAUUGUUGGCCUUUGGGCCCUAAAAUUUCUAAUUGGCCAG
Molecule: RNA transcript, 7104 nt
Organism: Cornus florida
Lineage: Eukaryota; Viridiplantae; Streptophyta; Magnoliopsida; Cornales; Cornaceae
Gene name: nudix hydrolase 3
Exons: 19
Source: RefSeq, a predicted model, not a curated record